GACAGAGGGUGCAAGCGUUGUUCGGAAUUACUGGGCGUAAAGCGCGCGUAGGUGGUUUUGUGUGUCUGGUGUGAAAGCCCUUGGCUCAACCAAGGAAGUGCGCCGGAAACUGCAAAACUCGAGUUUGGGAGAGGGGGGUAGAAUUCUCAAUGUAGAGGUGAAAUUCGUAGAUAUUGGGAGGAACACCGGUGGCGAAGGCGACCACCUGGAUCAA
Molecule: ribosomal RNA, 214 nt
Filed under: uncultured prokaryote
Description: partial 16S ribosomal RNA
Rfam family: Bacterial small subunit ribosomal RNA
Source: RNAcentral